RNAcentral lists this long non-coding RNA (1165 nucleotides) under Pogona vitticeps (central bearded dragon). Its description in RNAcentral is "lncRNA (ENSPVIG00000018762.1)". Lineage: Eukaryota; Metazoa; Chordata; Lepidosauria; Squamata; Agamidae. The record is from RNAcentral.
CCAGAACAGAGUUAAGUGUUUAUGGUAGACGGAUGUUUAGUUUGCUCAGAAUCAGCCUUCUCCAAGGUGAUACCUUCUGAUUGUGAUUGCUUAUGCUAACAGGGCAUGAUGGAAGCUGUAGUCUGAAAUCUUUGAAGGACACAAAAUUAGGGAAAUAUCCUCUGCUUCCAUCUUUUGGUCUGCAUCUCCUUUUUGUAUUUUUUUCCUCUCCUCCUUGCUCAGAAGUCUUUUUCUCUCUCCUCCAGCUGAAGGAAAGGUGAAUUUGGGAGAAUUCAUGAAAUGGGUGAGAGCAGUUCAGCUGCUUCCUCAAUCCUCUGAUGGGAAAAUGAAGCUGGACAACCUGAAGGAUGAGAUAACUGUUGAGACGGCCCCCCACAUAAUUGUGGAUGGAUGGAGUAAAGGUGGGAUUAAAUCAAUCUGUGGAAAAGGGGGGGGGCAGAAGGAGAAUUCCAUCCAGUCUCCUUUUCAGAUGUUCCCAUUUGGCAGGUGUGCCCAUGGUACUCAUGGGACUCAUUGUCAAGUCGGACUUAAGUUGAACCAGUGCUUCAACUCAGACUUGACUCAGAGUUUUGGGGUUUUUUUAAUGACUCAGACUCCCUUUUUUCUGGGGGGAAAACUUGUUUUUAAUAGGGACUCAGACUUGGAGUUUGAAACUCGGGACUUGGUACCAAAGACUCAGAUUUGGGCUCGGACCUAAAGACUUUCCGACAUCCCUGGCCCAUACAAACACAUGCAUGCAGAGAAAAAUAUAUCAACAAUGGGAUAACGCUGGCAUAUAGCCUGCUGUUUCUGCCUCUUGGGGUUGUGUUUCAUUUAACUCAUUGGUCCCCAACCUUGGGCCUCCAGAUGUUCUUGGACUACUACUCCCAGAAGUCUUCACCACCACCUCUGCUGGCCAGGAUUUCUGGCAGUUGAAGUCCAAGAACAUCUGGAGGCCCAAGGUUGGGGACCACUGAUUUAACUGAUCUGUAACUGCUGAUGAGUAGACAUUUUAUAUUAGGGAGUGUCUGCUAAAACAAUGGCAAUCCACACCUGCCACUUACUCUAUAAGACACUCGGCAACUUUGAAAGGGCAAAGGGGCUUCCUAAUCUUUUGUAGUGUUCCUCUUUGCUACUGUUUUUGAAAGUGAAGACGAUGAUUUAAAUAAAUGUGUAGGGUGUUACA